Molecule: ribosomal RNA, 459 nt
Filed under: uncultured bacterium
Lineage: Bacteria
Description: partial 16S ribosomal RNA
Rfam family: Bacterial small subunit ribosomal RNA
Source: RNAcentral
CCUACGGGAGGCAGCAGUGAGGAAUAUUGGUCAAUGGGCGAGAGCCUGAACCAGCCAAGUCGCGUGAAGGAUGACGGCCCUACGGGUUGUAAACCUCUUUUGUCAGGGAACAAAGGCGGGGACGUGUCCCCGGAUGAGUUUACCUGAAGAAAAAGCAUCGGCUAACUCCGUGCCAGCAGCCGCGGUAAUACGGAGGAUGCGAGCGUUAUCCGGAUUUAUUGGGUUAAAAGGGUGCUCAGGCGGUCUGUUAAGUCAGCGGUCAAAGCCCGGGGCUACACCCCGGCCCGCCGUUGAAACUGGCAGUCUCGAGUUGGAGAGAAGUAUGCGGAAUGCGCGGUGUAGCGGUGAAAUGCAUAGAUAUCGCGCAGAACUCCGAUUGCGAAGGCAGCAUGCCGGCUCCACACUGACGCUGAGGCACGAAAGCGUGGGUAUCGAACAGGAUUAGAUACCCCAGUAGUC